RNAcentral lists this ribosomal RNA (1221 nucleotides) under Triticum aestivum (bread wheat). Its description in RNAcentral is "partial small subunit ribosomal RNA". The record is from RNAcentral. Lineage: Eukaryota; Viridiplantae; Streptophyta; Magnoliopsida; Poales; Poaceae.
UAGUUUAGUUUGGUGGUGUUGCUUUUUCGCAUACCGCUACCUCGUCCUCCCGUGGUGUCGGGUGGUCGCAGUGCCGCCGCCGUGGUAGUGGCUGCGGGAGAGGGACAAGCGGAGGGCGGAGAGGGUGGUGUCCAAGCCUCUGCUCCUCGAGGCCCAUGACCUCCGCCGCGAGAGGCGGCCGCCGCUGCAACGCCGCGACGAGUCGUGCGCGAGCCGUCGGGCCUUUGAAGACGCCCUCUCGCACCGGCCCCGCACGCGGCGCCGACGCCAGCUCCCCCUGCCCCGCUCCGAGAGGCAGCGGCUGAAGAAGCGCGCGCGGAAGCGGGAGAGCCCUCUACAGCUCUCGACGGAACGAUACUCUAUACUCCGCGACCAAGACGCUCUCCGGUUUAUGAGGCUGCUGGAACUAGACGUACACAAGGUACUUCUUACCAAUUGGAAACGUGUCCUGAGAGAACUAUUACCCAAGAUGUGGUAACGAAGGUUCCGAAAACGUUUACGAGAACACGUGUAAGUGGGGUCGGUGAACCUGAGAUGAUUAAGCUGAGACUUCUUCUUGUUCCAGUUACUAUAUUCUCCUGAGGUUUGGAACCGGUUCAGUAAUAGACGUGUCGCAAGACAAGUCUGCGUUAGGCGUCUUAUGUACUUUUCCUUUUGAAGUCCGUAAUCACUUUUCACGUUAAAUGUGAGUCUUUUUGGCUUCAAUGGCCGCUUGAACUACAAAUCCGACCCCUAGUUUUGUUCCUUGAGUGUUUUUGAUGAUGAAUCGGCGUUCUCUUUGAAACUUCUCCAAACUAAAGCCCGUAAUAGUCGCACCGGAAAGGGGUUCUGACUCUUCUCACCGAACUAGUAAAAAGGUUCGGUAAAACCAUCUUUUCCACUUAAAGUACGGAAUCAAAAUGAACAGCAAAGGAUGUCAUCGAAACUUGAAGGGUCAGAUCAUAAAUAACUCGUAUACGUUGUACAUUGUGGUUAUAUAUAAAACAAAGUAGUGUCUAUAACCAACUUAUAAAUGUCCGAUGGAUCUAUCGACCCCAACAAGGAGAGGCAGUAAUUGCAAGGAAGUAAUGUAUGUGGGUAUGGAGAUAUACACAGAGGAAGAGUCUAACGUUACUAAUCACGAAACUAGUUUUCUUCUGGUGAAACUAGAAAAAAGACAUUCUAUUGAUACAGUGCCGUAUGCAGAAUAAUACGUUUUGUCUAUACACCCCAGAGACAGUU